UACGUAGGGUCCGAGCGUUGUCCGGAAUUACUGGGCGUAAAGAGCUCGUAGGUGGUUUGUCGCGUUGUUCGUGAAAACUCACAGCUUAACUGUGGGCGUGCGGGCGAUACGGGCAGACUUGAGUACUGCAGGGGAGACUGGAAUUCCUGGUGUAGCGGUGGAAUGCGCAGAUAUCAGGAGGAACACCGGUGGCGAAGGCGGGUCUCUGGGCUGACACUGACGCUGAGGCGCGAAAGCUAGGGGAGCGAACGGG
Molecule: ribosomal RNA, 253 nt
Filed under: uncultured bacterium
Lineage: Bacteria
Description: partial 16S ribosomal RNA
Rfam family: Bacterial small subunit ribosomal RNA
Source: RNAcentral